UCUUUUAUGACCCUCCCAGACCUCUCUCCCACUUACCUCAAGACCUCUGCUUAUCUCCCCAGUCUCCCUACUUCAUCAGGAGAAUUCAAACCAUGGGGCAUCAUCUCCCUAACUUUCACCCUUCCUACCUCCCUCCUCCCACACCCUUGCUUCCCUUCCUGCCACUGCAGAGGGAAAUGUAGCCCUUCUGCUCAGAGCCAGUCCUUCUAUCUGUGCCACUGAUAACUGUUAAAACUCCACUACCCUUUCCACACAGUGGGUCUGGAUCUCUGUUAAGGGAGUUCUGUUACUCAUUCAUCAUUGUACUCCUGGAGUCUAGUACACUGCCAGGGACAGGCAAGAUGCCCAAUAAGCAUUUAUCGAAUAAACGCUUUUUUUUUUUAAUCUGGGGGCUGUACCACAGUUCCUAAAAAUUGUCUAGAGACGUAAGACAACUGUUGACACCUGAUGCUUCAUGGGUUAUUGAUAUAGAGAGAGUAGUUUCCCCUGACUCUGAGAGUGGGCUAAAUUUGGAGGAGAUAAUCCAGGAGGGAAUGUGGCUGGCAGGCUAGGGAGUUCCUCCUGGGUCAGGUCAGUGCCGUCCAGCUGUGAGUUUGCUGUAUUAAUACCUCCUACUUGUCUUCUCUGAUCACUGCUGUCUAGUCUAAUUAUUUGCAAGAAGCACACUGAAAUUAAGAAAACUUCUCUGCCCCUGCCCCACUUCUGCCGACCAUCACUAGUCCUGAGCAAUUUAGGACAUUGCGAAAUCAGGUGCUCAGGCCACUGUCGCCCACUACCCAGCCCCAUUCAUCAGAGCGGUCGUUUGGAUCACCCUUGCUGUGCGGCCCCUUUACCUGUUGAUGAAGGCCUCUUCUCAUACAGCUGACCCGGCUGGAACCCAGAUUACCCGGUUUCAAGGGAUGGGUUAGCAGGUUGGUGAGUUGGCGUGCCACGGUCCUGGCCACUUUGAAGGUCAGUGUGACUCCAUUCCUUUCUCACCAGCAAACUCUCUGACGCCUGCCUUUGGAGAGCAGCGUUCCUUUUCUGGGAAAUUCGUUGUGGUAAGAAGCCUAACGUGCAGGUUUUCCUCACAGGGUUUAGCAUCAGCCUGCAAGACCUCUGGAAUUUUAAUACUCACUCCCCUCCCCACAUUUGCGGCUUUAGUCAUUUCUUCUUUCUGGUUGUUGGGGAAUAUGUACGUUGGCAAAGGUAAAAAGUGAAUUGCCCAUCUUUACAUCUGUCAAGCUCCAAAGCACCGUUAGCAAGCAUGCAAGGCAUGUUUCAGGAACCUUUUUCCUUCAGUUUGGAUCUAGGUUUACAAUAAACUGUAGUUGUUUUGCCUUAACCUUGAUACUUUCUGCCCAAAGCACAUGGGGUUGGUUUGGAGAGUAUGUCGCCUCCUUCCUCUCACACGGGGAGAACGUGUGCUCUCCAGCUCACACAGAGCACAAAGUAAUUGAACCAGAAUAGGGCAAAAAUAGUGUCUCCUAAAUUCUAUCUUUGAAUUUUCCCCAAAUGUCUUCACUUAGAAUACUUCUGAUGUACUUAACCUUUCUCAUUCCUGCUCAUGAAAUUAUAUUGAUUCUAUUGACCAGGUGGGCUAUUGGGUUUUGGUUCAUUAUUAAUCCGGAUAUCCCAUGCCUAGCAUUCAGUAAAUAUGUUUUUAAAUUAGUUAAUUCAUCCAUUCACUCAUUCAUUCAUAAAAUGAAUGGCCCUUCUAAAGUUUUCAUGUCUCUAAUAUUGGAAGUAGGUAAUAUUGGGUGGUAUUGACAAUUUAUUACGCAGUUGAGAGAAGCAUUGCAUUACCUUUUAUUUCAUGGUUUGAAAAUAUUUUUUGAGGAAGUUCUAUCUUGAGAGAAUAGUAUACUCUACAUUUAUUAUAAAUUGAUAAUAAAUUAACUAGAUAACGUUAAAUACAUUUUACAAUAGAGCCUAAAGGGAUAAACUGAUGAAACAUUGUAUCAUGUUUUAUAGCUGAGAAAAAAUAGUUUUCCAGAUGAAUAUAUUCAGUCCCUGUAGGGAGAAAAAUGUAGUGAAAUGGGUAUGAGGUAACUGAUGUUCAUAACUCUCUUUUUCCUUUAGACACUAAGGUCCCUAUGAUUGCAGACCUCAUGGAGCUCACAAAACUUCCUCGUGGUGCCUGCCAGUGUUAUGAGACCAGGCACCACAGAGGCUCAAGACCAGCUCAGGGGAUCAACUUUAACAGAGAUUGCUCCUGGUUAUUGCCUUUCUCAUGCUGGACAAUCCCCUAUGGAUUCAGCAACUCUCCCCUCACCAGACCUUCUGAAAUCCAUAGUAAGCGUUAGGUUAUUAGAUCACAGUAGUGAAUGAGUCUGAAAAUGGCAUUCCCCCCCACCCCACAAUUCAGAGAUUUUUGUCCUGGGGGUGCGGUGGAAGAGUCUCAUCUUGUGACCUUCUUCUGAGUCUUGGCAUGUUGGACCGAUAGUACUUGCUCACUAACCCUGGAAGGAUUACCAUGUGGAGCGGAGUAUUCCUGACAUGUUACUUUAAGGAUAUUGCUUAAAUCUAAAAGCGCUCUCUCCAAUACUCAUCUUCAAUAGACAAGACAUGUCCAGAUUAUACCAAUCCUAUAUAUCAUCUAGAGAAAAGUAAUGUAUCUAGAACGUACAAAUCAGAAUACAGGUUAUCAUCAGGUAAUUCUAUCCAUGUAAAAUUGUUGUCUGGACAGGCAAAGCAAAGGCAAAAAUAGGCUACGGUCUUGGCCUCAGAACUCUUUCCCCUUAAGCUGGGUGCUCAGCAUAGCUCACCCCAUUCCAUUUGAGUAUUUGACUUGUAAAUUCUGCUGAGAUUCAAAAAGCCUGGGGUGCAAAUCCUGGCUCCACUACCUAACUGCAUAAACUUGGAAAAAUCGCUGACAUGUCUUUCUGUCUGUUUCCUUAUCUAUGUAAAGAAAUGGGGAUGGUAUAAGCUCCACGAGUGUUUGGAGCUCUGUGAACGUUCAAAUGCUAAACAAACAUUAGUUGUAGCUGGUUCUUAGGAGGCAGUCUAGCAUAGAGGUCAAGAGCAUGGACUCUGAAGUGAAGCAGUCUGGUUUGAGUCUCACUUACCAGCAUCAUGACCUUAGGUGUUACUUCUCUAAUUCUUUGUUUCCUUGCCUGUAAAAAGGAUGAUUUUAAUGAGCUAGAAUAGCUAUAAGGAUUAAAUGACACAAUCUAAAACCUCCUGUAUUUGCAUUUCUUUCUGGGUGAAUUCUGUGGCCAUGAACUGCUGUGGGAAGCCCGGAAGGACGGAAGACAGAUGUGGCCUCCACUGGGGAUGG
Long non-coding RNA from Aethalodelphis obliquidens (Pacific white-sided dolphin), 3259 nucleotides. RefSeq lists it as uncharacterized. Lineage: Eukaryota; Metazoa; Chordata; Mammalia; Artiodactyla; Delphinidae. The record is from RefSeq and is a predicted model, not a curated record. The transcript has 3 exons.